CAACCUCAACUCAUAUGGGACUACCCCCUGAAUUUAAGCAUAUUAAUUAGGGGAGGAAAAGAAACUAACAAGGAUUUUCUUAGUAGCGGCGAGCGAAAAGAAAUCAGUUCAGCACUAAGUCACUUUGUCUAUAUGGCAAAUGUGAGAUGCAGUGUACGGAACAUCAACAUUCUAGUAUGAGAAGUUAACGAUUUAAGUCCUUCUUAAAUGAGGCCAUUUACCCAUAGAGGGUGCCAGGCCCGUAUAACGUUAAUGAUUACUAGAUGGUGUUUCCAAAGAGUCGUGUUGCUUGAUAGUGCAGCACUGUGGGUGGUAAACUCCAUCUAAAACUAAAUAUAACCAUGAGACCGAUAGUAAACAAGUACCGUGAGGGAAAGUUGAAAAGAACUCUGAAUAGAGAGUUAAAUAGUACGUGAAACUGCUUAGAGGUUAAGCCCGAUGAACCUGAAUAUCCGUUAUGGAAAAUUCAUCAUUAGAAUUGUAAUAUUUUAAACAAUAUUAUAAUAAUAGUGUGCAUUUUUUCCAUAUAAGGACAUUGUAAUCUAUUAGCAUAAAUAUUUAUCAUAAAAUUAUGUCUGAUUGCUUAUUUGAAUUAUAUGCUUGGCAUUUUAACAUAAAAUAAAAGAUAUAAAUUUGAUAAAGUGCUGAUAGAUUUAUAUGAUUACAGUGCGUUAAUUUUUCGGAAUUAUAUAAUGGCAUAAUUAUCAUUGAUAUUUGUGUUUAUUAUAUGCAUUUGUAUGAUUAACAAUGCGAAAGAUUCAGGAUACCUUCGGGA
This is a non-coding RNA of Drosophila virilis, 775 nucleotides long. Lineage: Eukaryota; Metazoa; Arthropoda; Insecta; Diptera; Drosophilidae. The record is from Rfam.